CGGGAGCAUCGGCACUGGGAGCUGCUGGGCACCGGGAGCACCGGAAGCAUCGGUACCGGGCACUGGGAGAACUGGGGACCGGGAGCACUGGGAGCACUGGGGACCGGGAGCUCUGGGCACUGGGAGCACUGGGCACCGGGCACUGGGAGAACUGGGGACCGGGAGCACCGGAACCGAGAGCAUCAGGCACCGGGAGCACCGGCACCGGGAGAACUGGGCACCGGGCACUGGGAGAAUUGGGCACUGGGCACUGGGAGAACUGGGUACCGGGAGCUCUGGGCACUGGGAGCACUGGGCACCGGGCACUGGGAGCUCUGGGUACUGGGAGCAUCAGGCAUCGGGAGCACUGGCACCGGGCACUGGGAGCACUGGGAGGACUGGGAUUACUGGGCACCGGGAGCAUCAGUACUGGGCACUGGGAGCACUGGGGGCACCGCGAGCACCGGCACCAGGCACUGGGAGAACUGGGAUUACUGGGUACUGGGAGCUCUGGGCACUGGGAGCAUUGGUACCGGGCACUGGGAGGACUGGGAUUACUGGGUACUGGGAGCACUGGGCACCGGGAGCAUCAGUACUGGGCACUGGGAGCACUGGGAGUACUAGGCACCGGGAGCAUCGGCACUGGGAGCACUGGGCACCGGGUACUGGGAGAACUGGGCACCAGGCACUGGGAGAACUGGGCACCAGGAGCACCAGCACCGAGAGCACUGGGAGAAGGGCACUGGGAGCACUGGGCACUGGGAGAACUGGGAGCGCUGGGCACCGGGUACUGGGAGAACUGGGCACCAGGAGGACCAGCACCGAGAGCAUCGGGCACCGGGAGCACCGGCACCGGGCACUGGGAGAACUGGGAUUACUGGGUACUGGGAGCUCUGGGCACUGGGAGCAUCAGUACUGAGCACUGGGGGCACCGGGAGCAUCGGCACUGGGAGCACUGGGCACUGGGAGAACUGGGCACCAGGAGCACCAGCACCGAGAGCAUCAGGCACCAGGAGCACUGGCACCGGGCACUGGGGGCACUGGGAGCACUGGGAGCACUGGGGGCACUGGGCACCGGGAGCAUCAACCCCCCAGAGGGGGCAUCCGGGCACCGGGAAUCACGGGGGGGGCACCAGCCCCGGGCACUGGGAGCACUGGGGGGCGGGGGGAGCCGGCACUGGCCCC
Molecule: long non-coding RNA, 1164 nt
Filed under: Calidris pygmaea (Spoon-billed sandpiper)
Lineage: Eukaryota; Metazoa; Chordata; Aves; Charadriiformes; Scolopacidae
Description: lncRNA (ENSCPGG00000017596.1)
Source: RNAcentral